CAUAGGUGUCUUUUAGUAAAAAAGGAAAACAUUUCUAAUGAGAUCAUAUGGAAACAGGUUGGAAUUUUUAGCCAUGGAAUAUGUAUUAGAUGUAAAGAAGGAUUUUCUGCAAUAACACAAUAAACUAUUUCCUUCCCUCACAAAGUCAUAAAACAGUCAUAAAAGCACUUUCCCAAGGUCCAAAAGAAAAUUAAUUGGAGUUCAGGAUCAACUUCUCAGGGUUUUGUUGUUUCCUUAUUAAUUUGGCUUU
Long non-coding RNA from Phyllostomus discolor (pale spear-nosed bat), 250 nucleotides. RefSeq lists it as uncharacterized. NCBI's taxonomy places the organism in Eukaryota, Metazoa, Chordata, Mammalia, Chiroptera, Phyllostomidae. The record is from RefSeq and is a predicted model, not a curated record. The transcript has 3 exons.